RNAcentral lists this long non-coding RNA (1447 nucleotides) under Nicotiana tabacum (common tobacco). Its description in RNAcentral is "long non-coding RNA (NTAB_LNC012654)". The record is from RNAcentral. Lineage: Eukaryota; Viridiplantae; Streptophyta; Magnoliopsida; Solanales; Solanaceae.
CGGACCUUACCCUCAGAACUUAGGAAACGGUGGAUCUGAAGAGAGACCCCCACCCCCCUUUUUUGAAGCGUCUUCUUCUUUACAGGCUUUAGGAGACCCUUCCAUCUCCUCUCCAAACCAAUAGCCAUGGCUUCACCCUCAUCACCACCAAAUCCUUCAGCACACGCCAUUUAACUCCCCUUCUUCAUCCAUCAUUUCCUCACAGCCACCAAAUCGCCGGAAAUCCGGCAUUCAUCAGCUCCCCCUUUCUCUUCGAUUCUUUUUAUCUCAUCUCUAACCUUGAAAAAAAUGGAAACAAAGACCUGACAAGCUUGGAGACCAAAAGCAAUAGAAAAACCGAAUUUCAAAGAAGAUCUGAAAGGGAGUUUGGUCGCUGAAAUGUUAAAAUUCGUCUUCCUCCUUUCUUUGGGCUCGUAUGAAGUUGUGAAUGGACUGUGUUGCUGAACUCGUUGUUCCCGAUUUUAAAUGUUCUAUUCAUCUUCAGCGUUAACUUUACUUGGUUAUUUGGGACUGUAUUACUGCCGCUAAGGUACUGUCUCCCAUUCUCGUUCUUGUAAUUCUCAUUUUGAUUCAAUGAAAAUAUGCUUACAAUGAUGAGGCAGUGUAUAAUUAUAUAUUUUCUUGUUACAUUCAGCAAUUCCUGUCAUUGUAGUGUAUCAUGAUUUGAUUUUAUAGCUAAAUGGAAUAAAGGUCUCUAUUUUCAGGUUGUCAUUUUUAAGAUGGUUCUGGAACCGGAUUAUUGGUUUGUCUAGUAUUCUACCAGAAUUUUUGGCUUAAAAUAUGGUAUACAGUGGGAGGGACUUUAGGGAUUUGCCCUCUGGUUUUGUUUAAUUAUCAAUUCCUUUUUGUAAGUAAUUAAGUGUCAAGUUGUUUUUUUAUUUGAGCUACAUGAUCCAUCUUGAUCAAAGUUAGUUUAUAAUGGACUGAGUUGGACCCUUUAGCAUAUGAGAAUUGGAAUGUGAGAAACAUAUGGUCUUUGACACAAACGGAGUGUUGAUGUUAACCAAUCUUGUGUAUUGUUGCUAUUAACCAAGGUAUUCUGAAUAAUGGAAAAUUUCUUUCCUUUUUUUUGGUGAAAUUUGGUCUUUGACACAAGCGGAGUCGAUACAGCGAUGUAAUUUGCUCAUUUUUUGGAGUUUGAAUAUGCUUGUGGCAAACAGAGCAUCUUUGUGGUUGCUAACUUGGUAAUUGGUGUGAAAGCUCAUACAAUAUCAAAGUGUCUAAGUUAAUUAAGCUAGGUACAAGAAGUCCUUCUAUGUAAUCACUAUUUCUGAUUUUCCAAAAUAAUUCCAAGAGCCAUGUGAAGAGCUACUUAUUCUAAAUCAGUGUCUCGCUAUUAUGGUAUUCAAUGGUGAGUUUCAAUAGUUUAAGGACGAUUCUGAAUAAUUAAAAUACCAUUGGAGCAGUAGGCAUCAUAUUUAAAAGUUUAGUCAGGUGUAGAUUUGGA